AUUGAACGCUGGCGGCAGGCCUAACACAUGCAAGUCGAGCGAGCGGCGGACGGGUGAGUAAUGUCUGGGGACCUUCCUGAUUGAGGGGGAUAACUCCUGGAAACGGUAGCUCAUACCGCCUACCAUCAGCUUUGCCCAGAUGGGAUUAGCUAGUAGUUGGGGUAACGGAUCACCUAGGCGACGAUCGCUAUCUGGUCUGAGAGGAUGACCAGACACACUGGAACUGAGACACGGCCCAGACUCCUACGGGAGGCAUCAGUGGGAAAUAAUGCACAAUGGGCGCAAGCCUGAUGCAGCCAUGCCGCGUGUGUGAAGAAGGCCUUCGGGUUGUAAAGCACUUUCAGCGGGGAGGCGUUACCCGAAGAAGAAGCACCGGCUAACACCGUGCCAGCAGCCGCGGUAAUAC
This 406-nucleotide ribosomal RNA is filed under the name uncultured bacterium. RNAcentral's name for it is "partial 16S ribosomal RNA". It matches the Rfam family "Bacterial small subunit ribosomal RNA", at positions 30 to 526 of the family's 1533-position model. The record is from RNAcentral.